Schistosoma rodhaini is the source of this 45-nucleotide non-coding RNA. The record is from Rfam. NCBI's taxonomy places the organism in Eukaryota, Metazoa, Platyhelminthes, Trematoda, Strigeidida, Schistosomatidae.
AUCCAUCUAAAGAGUCCCAAAUAGGACGAAACGUGCGUCCUAGAU